GCUUAGAAGGUAGCCAAAACCCUACAAUGUUGAACCUGCGUCGUUGCUAGAUUCCCAUGGAGGUUGAAGCAACUUGUAGGUCGGGCUGUUGUUUGCUCGGUUUGCGACCGUUGAGGGAACGCAGAUUGCUGUCUAGUCCUUGUGAGAGUGUAUCAUGUGAUUUCGACAACUCUGUGGCCUUAGCCAGGCUGCCUUACGAGGGGGCUUGUCGUUCAGAUAGAAAAACUGUACAAGGUACAAUCCUACACAAGAGUACACUGUGAAGCUGGCGUUGAUAGGGAUCUGUUAAAAUUCGUGCUCCACCAAGAUCCUUAAAUGCCAUGAGCGGUUUGGAGUUUGAAGCUCUCAUAGAAUAAGCUAACAGUAUUUGGAUGCAGUACCGACUUAAGUGUGAUUGCAAAGAUUGCGGUCUUUAAUUUGCGGAAAAUUGCUUCUCUGGCAUUGCAUGAUCUGGGUUUGAGUUCCUUCAGAUCAAUCUAGGAAAAUCGUAUAAGAACGCGUUAGAAUGAAUUUGUCAUUGGCUGCUGAUGUUACAGUUGAUUCUUGAUAAAGCUUUGCAUCAGAUAAUGAUUCGGUUCUCUAAAGGAAUAGGAGUUCGAAUCAUGAUUCCAUUGUUUACCUGCAGGAGUCAGCCUGUGUCAGGCUUCUGGCAUGUAUGGUACCCUAAUGGCAUGAGGCAUGCCAGGAGCCUCAAUAAUUUGGUCUCCUUUCGGAGUUCUGCUGCACCUUGAAUAUUGAAAGCCCACAGUUGUAUGGCAAGAAAUGCUCACAAUACCCUGAUACCAUGCAGUAUCACAAUAUAAGUCACUCUGCUUGUUGCAGGUUGACAAUAUAGUGCACUCUAGAUUAAGCGUUCUGUCACGAUUCCACUUCAAGCAAAUCUAAGCUAGUAGAAGAACAGUGUUAUUUGAUAUACUCUUAGUUCUGAAAGUGGAUGUGAUAAGAUAAAUAUUUGUAAGAGAAUAGUGGUUAAGUAAUCUUAUUCUGCUACUGAUUAGGGGUAGAUAUAUGUCAAAAUCAACCGGAAGUGGUUAUAUGAAAGGAAAUCAUUGUAAAAUGUGAACCUGCCCUUCAAAAGUGCAUUGC
Non-coding RNA from Physcomitrium patens, 1086 nucleotides. The record is from RefSeq and is a predicted model, not a curated record. Lineage: Eukaryota; Viridiplantae; Streptophyta; Bryopsida; Funariales; Funariaceae.